AAAUGGAAUCAAAGAACAAGUCCCUGAAAAUUGAUGUCACGGGAUUGCAUACACUAGUAUACACCUAGUGUAUACGGAAAUGGGCCUAAAGGCCCCGUAUUCAAUUUUGUAUUUUGUUGUUGGGCCUAAGCCCCUUUUAUUUUAAUUAUCAUCUUGUUAGUUUAGGACAGGUACUAAGGUUUGGGCCUUUGGACCCAAAACUGAAAUUAAGCCCAAGUACUGGCCCAGGCGGAC
Molecule: long non-coding RNA, 234 nt
Filed under: Solanum tuberosum (potato)
Lineage: Eukaryota; Viridiplantae; Streptophyta; Magnoliopsida; Solanales; Solanaceae
Description: long non-coding RNA (STUB_LNC000428)
Source: RNAcentral